Molecule: non-coding RNA, 8706 nt
Organism: Cordylochernes scorpioides
Lineage: Eukaryota; Metazoa; Arthropoda; Arachnida; Pseudoscorpiones; Chernetidae
Source: the annotation of a GenBank genome assembly
UAAUAAUAAUAUUUUUCAAUGUAAAGAUAGAGGCUGCCUGGCCGGCAUUCAUAUUUAUAUGAAAAACAGACACUUCGGCCAGUUAGAGUUUUUUAUUUUCUCAACGUUUCGACAAAAAUCUUUUGUCUUCGUCAGGAGAAGUGAAUAAACUGGCCGAAGUGUCUAUUUUUCAUAUAAAUUUUUAAUGUGUUUAUUUUCAUAUAUAUUAUCAAAUAUUAUCUCUACAAAUCUCACUAAAAUGUUAAAUAUUAUGAUUAAGAGGGCUUGAAUCAUCAGUGGUGAAUCCUCUCAGCCAUUUCUCCAAAAUUAAUCUCAAGAUCGCUCUACAUUUGUAUUGGAUUGGAUUCACCACUGAUGAGCUAAACCUUCUCAUUCAAUAACUUUUAUCAUUGUAGUAAAAUCUGUAGAUAAAAUAUUUAAUUAUAUAUGCCAAAAGAAACACAUUUAUUGGAUCGUUUUUUUUUUGAGACAACUCUCAGAUUUAUAAAAUUAAUUUAUUAAACUACAAACAUUUUUAGAUAUAGAGAGAGAAACGAACCUCGUAUUUAAGGCAACAAAAGAAUCAUCUAAUUUGCAUACAUCGUUCUAACCAGAUUCAACUUGUGCAAAACAGACGACAAAGAAAAAUAAACAAACUAAUAAUAGAGGGUAAGUUCCUAUUUUACAAGCUUUCUCACACUCAAAGAAUAAUAAUUUUCUUGCUUUAAAAUUGCCAAAAUAUUAUAAUUACAAAUUUUAGCGAUAGAUGUGGCAAGUGAAUUUAUAAAUAUAGAUAUAUUGUAUUAUUGAUAUUUUGUAUCUAUAAAUACUUCGUUUUCUUUCGUAUAUUCUACACUUUAUAAAAUCCUAGAAUUAUAAAUUUUUGAUACUGUGUUAGUAUUUUAACAAAUAUAAAUUAUAUAUUUAGAUACUAUAUAUAUUUUCAAAAGAGUUAAACAGAAAUAUAUUUGGGCGAAAAAUUGAAAACGCUUUUUUCUUUAUAUACAAUCAUUGGCAAAUCGUCGGUUGUAUUUUUAUUUAUCUUUUGAGGAGACAGAGGCAAUUUUGUUCGAACUUGGUCAUUUCGUGUGUCUUCAAUAAAUCUCACUGUAAUAUCUUUCAGAAAUUUUGUCUGAAUAUCGAAAUAUAUGAUAAAAUGCACAAUUUUCUUAAGUUUUGUCCAUGAGUAUACUCUAUUGAUAAACAAUAAUUUAUUGUAUUUAUAUAUAUAAAUGAAUUUUAUUCUUAUGAAAGAUUUUUCAAUAAAAAGAUAAACGUAGUAUAUCAAUAAAUUGAAGGGAUGAUACUCAGGGAUACUUAGGUUCAUAACUGAAUUUUUUAAUGGUGUUUUACUCAAAAUAUAAAACUAAAUUUUUAAAAUUACAAUUAGUCACUCUCAGUUUUCUACACACAACUCACAGUGACAAUAUAUCAUCAAAGAAUGAUAUAAUAAAUAAUAAAAUGAAAGAGUUCCUGCAAUAAAUAUUGACUCCAAUCUAUCUAUCUAUUGAGAAUGAAUAUUGAUUUACCAUAUAUUGAUUUUCAAUGAUUAUCUUUAUUCAUAGUUUCCCUUUGCACCGACUGUUCUGAUAAUACUAGAAUAUAUUAUAGGUUUGGUAUAUAUUCCAUGAGAUCAUGUUUAGAUUCAUAAUUGAAUCCUAGAUGUGCGAGUUUAGUAUUUAAAGAAAGAAAUGUGUCCAGAGUGUUGAGGAAUACACACAGGAAGUUGUACCUUACAGAAUGUAUAUCGGGAUUCAUACAAUACCUCUGAAGGAUACACUCAUUAACAAAACUUGAGGAAGUUGUACCUUUUAGCAUGUAUAUCGGGAUUCAGACAAUAACUCUGAAAGAUACACUCAUGGACAAAACUUAAGGAAGUUGUACCUUUUAACAGGUAUAUCGGGAUUCAGACAAUAACUCUGAAAUAUACACUCAUUGACAAAACUUAAGGAUGUUGUACCUUUUAGCAUGUAUAUCGGGAUUCAGACAAUAACUCUGAAAGAUACACUCAUGGACAAAACUUAAGGAAGUUGUACCUUUUAACAGGUAUAUCGGGAUUCAGACAAUAACUCUGAAAUAUACACUCAUGGACAAAACUUAAGGAAGUUGUACCUUUUAACAGGUAUAUCGGGAUUCAGACAAUAACUCUGAAAUAUACACUCAUGGACAAAACUUAAGGAAAUUGUACCUUUUACCAUGUAUAUCGGGAUUCAGAUAAUAACUCUGAAAGAUACACUCAUGGACAAAACUUAAGGAAGUUGUAUAUUUCAGCAUGUAUAUCAGGAUUCAGACAAUAACUCUGAAAGAUACACUCAUGGACAAAACUUAAGGAAGUUGUAUCUUUCAGCAUGUAUAUCAGGAUUCAGACAAUAACUCUGAAAGAUACACUGAUGGACAAAACUUAAAGAAGUUGUACCUUUCAGCAUGUAUAUCGAGAUUCAGACAAUAACUCUGAAAGAUACACUGAUGGACAAAACUUAAAGAAGUUGUACCUUUCAGCAUGUAUAUCGAGAUUCAGACAAUAACUCUGAAAGAUACCCUCAUGGGGACAAAACUUAAAGAAGUUGUAACUUUCAGCUUGUAUAUCGGGAUAUUUGAAACACAGUGACCUUUAUUGAGCACACACGAGAAAACUAAGUGUGAACAAAUUUUCUUCUGUCUCCUUCAAAAACAUAGACGACCACGAUAUAAAAGUCUCUACCUCUGCUCAGCAGGCCAAUCACGGCGUGGACACUAGGAACGAUGUACGCAUGUUUUUUGUCCAAGAGACUCAUGGGAAAAAGGCCAAAGCGGGUGAAGAUUGUGCGCUCGGCGGAGCUGAACCUGACCUGCCAAGCUGCCAACGCCCGCUUGUAGAUUGUCGAUUUAAGUUUCGACAGAAUAGAAAUUCGGCAAAAGCCAGGAAUGAUAUAGGCAACAAAAGCCCUUGCAUCCCCUGUUUUUCGCUGAAAAACCACGUCACACAGCCAGAAGGAAUGAUGCAUUCUCCAUGCACCGAGCGGCCUUUGGUAGGCCCCUCGCGCCCGCCAGUAUGGUCCGGCUACAAUGGGGUUGACCACUCACCCACAGGCGUCUCCGAGAGUUCAUUGGCAAGGUUGCUGACCGAGCCCUCUCGUUCGGACUUAGAGCCAUCCGUCCUACGCUCCAAUAGGACUCCCCCCCCUUUAGCCCUCGAACCCUUAACCAGUACUCCCUGAAUCUGCCGUCGAAUCAAGGACCUCUGAGGAACUGAGGUUUACGCGGGGAACGCCGUGAACGCGGGGGGGUGGUACUACUGUGUGCACCCCUUGGUUUCUCAUGGUGCGCACGACAAGGACGCUCCCAAUGACGCACACACAGAGCGAAGACCCAAGAGUUUCAAGUCACGUGCGCCUCGCCUCAGACAACCAAGGACAGACGGCCAGCUUACAGCUUCACUGGACAUCAGUCAGUGGCACCCCGACGGAGGACACACGCAGAGACGCCUCUCAACUCACUCCCCUCUAGAGUGAUUGUAGAGGGCGGGAAAAACUCCUUCCCCGCUUAAGUUUCGACAGCGGUGCGAGGCGAUGGCAGCUCGGGAGAUCAUAUUCCGCCCCGCGUUUCGCGAGCACAUCAGCUACCUCAUUACCAUAAAUCCCGCUGUGGCCUUUGAUCCAUUGUAUGGUACAUCUGUUCCCAUUGCGGUUCAGUUGUGAAAUCAGCAACAAGGCUCUGUUGACCAGGAGGUUGCCAGUUCUGGAGUUUAGAACGGAUUUCACAACUGAGAGGUUAUCCAGGAGAAUUUCAAUGGUGUAAUUGUCGGGAAGCUUUGAGGCGUCCUCAAGUGCUUUAAGCAAGCCAAGUGCCUCCGCUUGGAAGACAGUACAGUACGGGGACAGGACAAAGCUUCAACGCAGUUCAUUCAUGGAGCCAUUCGCACACACUCUAUAUAGGCCUGUGCCAACUCCAGUUUUCGUCUUGGAACCAUCUGUGUAGUAGAUGACGUCAGCAGAAAGAUCAGGAAUAUUAAUGGGAGCGGAGUAAUAGGGAGGAUAGGGAGGUGGGUGAGGGCAGGGGGGAGGCUCGACUGGAAAAUCAGCGUCAACAAAACUGUGCUUUUUAAAAUACAAUUCCGCCUUGGCGCCGACAUCCAGAUCGAGAGGGAGAACACGUGAAAGAGAGAUGAGAGAGCUAUUGGCAGUUGUUUUAAAGGCGCGGCAUGUCCCGAUGAGGAACGGGCGCUGCGCGCUUAAAAGAGUGUUUAAGGAGCGUUGUUUAAGAUUAGAAAACCACACAGGAGAAGCGUAAGAGAUGGCUGGGACCACGACCUGUAGAUAGAGCAUCCUCAGGGCACGGAAACCAAAGCCAAAAUUGGAGUUGGCGGCUGCUGUCAAACGCGGGAGAAAUCCGCGGACUCUUGUGCAAACCUCAACCACAUGCUGGUGGAAGGUGAGACGCUGAUCAAACCUUACUCCCAGCACUUUGAUUGAGUCGCUCCAUUGAAUGGGUUGACCAUUAAUGGUUAGAUCGCAGCUAGGCUUUAGUAGUCUGCCAGUACGUCUUAGAAGGAGCAUGGCCUGACACUUCCUCACGCUGAGUUCCAGUUUAUGCAGGCCACACCACCUCGUGAUCUCGUUAAUGGCAAGUUGCGCCGCUCCAAGUUGAUUAGUAACUUGGCCCGCCACCACCAUGACAAGAUCGUCGGCGUAGGCCUGCGGGUGUACACAUUUUUUAAAGUUGAGCGUGAGGAGCUCGUCAAAGACAAGGUUCCAAAGAAACGGCCCAAGAACUGAGCCCUGCGGGCAGCCUUUGGAAACCUGCCUCGUGACCGUGCAACCAUUCAUAGACAGUCUGACAACACGGUUAUUGAGGAAGGAGCGAAUCAGGACAAACAGGUUUUUUGGACAAUCAUUCAUACACAGAGCUCGCAAUAUGCUGGAGUGUAGCACAUUGUCAAAAGCGCCUUUCACAUCAAAGGAAAGAAGAACAGAAGAUUUUCUAUGCUGAAGCGGCCGGGAGAGAUUAUUUUUUAAAUUUAGAAGUGUGGCGACAGUAGAUUUGCAGGGCCUGAAACCGAACUGGUUUGGUUGGGCUUUACACAUUCUCUCAGCUCGCCACGAGAGCCUGGCCAGGAUUAGACGCUCUAGAAUUUUACCUAAGCCAGGCAGCAUCGUGAUGGGCCGAUGAGACGCGAGAAAGUCCUCAUUACCUUUUUGGGGAAUGAGUAUGACAUCACCCAGUUUCCAAGGGGUUGGAAAAUGUCCAGUUUCACACACACACAAAGCACCUAUUGAAGAUCUUUAAAAAGAACGUCGGGAAUUUUUUAAUUAAUUUAACAAUGACAAGAGGUGGCAUACCAUCACUGCCAGGAGCAGAAGUUAGGCUAACCUUAUCCGCAGCCAGAAGCAGUUCUAUUUCUGAGAACGGUGGGUCGUUAUUAGAGGUGGACUGCACGGCUUUAUGUAAGUUAACAUGCUCUACUGUUGUAUCGGGCGGGACGCGGCCGAAGUAGUGCAUUAAAACGUGUUCUAGAGUGUCCCGCGGACUGUCAGUGAGAUCGUCGCCAACCAGGAGAGAGGAAAGAGGCUUCCUCUUGGUGGAGCCUUUUAUAAAUUUAUAAACGCCGCCCCAGGGGCUAACCUCACAAAGCGAACAGAUCCUUCUCCAUUCAGCAGACUUCCCGUGUCUGAUAGAGGUGCGAAAUCUAUUAUAUAAUUUCUUAUAAAAUAUUUUCAACACGCUUCUAACAGGCCCACGAGCUUUUCUCCAGGCCCGUUCAGCUUUUUGAGUAACCUUUUGGAGCGGAUUUAGUUCAGGUUUCCACCAAGUGGGUUUCUUAAAAAAAAAUUAUUGGCGGCAGGUUUAGAGGGAAUGGUUUGUAGACACGAGUGAAACACCUCGUCUUUUAGUAAAUUAAUUACUUAAUCGACUUGAGUUGUGUCACUUGCGUCCAGUAAGGAUGAAAUUCUAAAAAAAAAAUUUUUUUAGAGCUAGAAAAAAAAAAUUCCCAGGCGAACCAAAGCUGAAGUGUACUUCGCUAAAAGUAUCUCGACUUAUUUAGGCAUACAAUUUUAGUCAAAUGGUAUUCUAGCAAAAAAUAAAUAUAACAAAUUGUUUACAAUAAAAUAUAAAAUAAUUUAAUAAAGAAUAACUAAAUAUUUACAUUUACAAAAUGUAACUUUUAUAACACACAAAGUUUAACACAGCGCCAUCUAGGUGUGGCAAUUGGAAUUAUUUAACCCUACAGUAGUGAGCGCAAUAGAAAAUUGUUUUUUACUAGAAUAUAUAAAAUAAAUCGUCAAAUAUAGUUUUGAUUUCUUAUAAUUAACAACUCUUUGACCCCAAUUGAGAGAAACAAUAAAAGAAAUAUUAUUAAAUAAAUAAAGCUUCCAGGGUUAAGUUUCUUGUACAACCUUUUAUUUCAAGCUUUCGGAUUUGUCAGUCGUUCAACAGGAUUUUCACUUAAAAAUUUAGUAAUAAAUACAAUUUAUAUAUACAAGUAUCAGAGUCAUCAACAAUCAAUUCUGUCAUCGUUUGCUUUUGUGAAUGGAAUGGCCAUUUCUUAUAAGCAUCGGUGGUUCAGUGGUAGAAUGCUCGCCUGCCACGCGGGCGGCACGGGUUCGAUUCCCGGCCGAUGCAUUUUUUUUUAAAUAAUUUUUAAAACUCAUUUAUAUUAUUAUAUUAUAUAUAAAAGUCAAUGUCUGUUGUCUGUUUCGCGAUAAACUCAAAAACUACUGAACCAAUUGGUACCAAAUUUUGCAUGUCGCUUUUUAUAAACCCGUAUUGCUAUUCUAUGACACUUCACCAUUUAUUAUUGAUGUUAUUUCAGUAUGAAGGAAAUUGCAUUCAGGGGGAAUUCUCGGGCGAAGCCGGGUCAUUCGUCUAGUUUUUAUAUACACGUUAUUAUAUACAUAUUUUAAAUACCUACUAUAUAAUGAGAGAAAAUUAUGCUACAUUAUUUCUGUUUGAUAAUCAAAAUAUUUUGAAAAUAUACGUGCGUGGUGGAUGGAUGAUACGUGCUGGUUGAAUGAUAUCUCGAGACUUCAAAUUAAUAGAACUAUAUACUGAGUAUACCAAUCAAUCAAAAUGAAUAUAGGUAUAUUAAUAUAAUUAAGUUUUAUAUUCUAUUAUAUAUUAUAUUGUCUCAAUUAUUAUAUAUAUAAAAGUGUAAAUAUCAAAAUGGCAUAUCCUGACCAGGAGCACAUGUGCUUUACAGAAGGCAGAGCGCCAUCUAGUGAAACAGAAAUCAACUAAACAUCGGUUUAACCUGUUCCCUGAUAUUUUGCCAACCCAAUUUAUUGAUAAAUCAAGUAAAGCCACCCACGAACACGUUUCGCGCUGUUGGCGCUCGUUAGAGUGGAGUAGGGUGUAAAACUGCGACCAACAAUAAUUUUGGUCCCAGUGGCUUCUUGAAAAAUUAAGAAAUGGGUAUUUAAGGCCAAACUUGCGUAAUAUAAUAAUAAUAAUAUGAUUAAUAAUAAUUUUUUCUAUUGUUUUUUUCAUAUAAAUGUGUGUAAAUACAUUAUAUUUAAUACAAGUAUUCAAAUAGAUAGAUUGUAAGAGGAAUCAAAUAAAGGAAGUAUCCCAAGAAUGUCAGAGAUCUGCCUGGCGACCUAUUCCCAUCCCUUAUUACCUGGAACUAAAUAAAUGGAGAAAUCUUUUCACCAAACUUAAACAAAAUAUUUGCAGAUAAAGGUUGUAGAGUGUAAAUGAAUUUUUAAAUAAAAGCUUAGAACGGACAUUAGAAAUCAGAAAAAUUGAUUAGAAAAUAAUAGAAGAAUCGUGAUUUAAUGUUUACUUUUACUUCGUAUAGAUGGCGCGGUAUUUACCCUAUAAUACUUAUAUAACACAGGUCUACAAAAAAAAACUUUUUUUACCGGAGAAAACCUGAUGUUUAUACUAAUGAACUUUCCAUGCUGAAUUCAAAAAUGAAAUCCAAAGUUUUCCAUCACCCAUAGUUCUUGUAGAAUAACUAUUUUUUCUAUAAAUUGGUAUAUACAGUAAUAAUGCAGAAAAUGUUACGUAAGCAUUUUUUAAGUAAACAUCAUUACAUUAGCUAGAGCUUCAUUUUUGACAAGAAGAGUUGAUAUGUGGAGUCAAAAGCUUUAUUUUAUUUGUUAUUAAUUAAAUUUUGCUCUUUAAGAAUCAUAAAUAUUAAUUUAAAUAACAAAUUUAUGAAUUUUUAUAUUAUUACGGUUUGGAUAAAUUUUAAGACUUUUAAACGCAUGUAAGGCUGGCUAAUAUGCUAUAUUUAUUUCGAAAUAUUUUUACUUCUUAUUUAUUUAUUUAUUUCAAUUCAAAACGCUAUGUCCCCCUAGGGACACUUGCGCUAAAUGUACAUACAAAUAUAACAAAGAAAAUAUUCAACAUGGAAAGAUAAACAGAAAGCGACUUAGAAAGAUUCAUAAAUAUUAUUUACAUAUAGAGAUAUUCUUUGAAUUUUAUUUACAGUUACAUCAUUAAAUUUAAAAAUAUAUACACACAUAUACACGCAUACACCUAUAUAUUGUUUACAAUCACAAGAUAUGUCCAAUAUUUCCUUGAGAUCGUUACAUCAAAGACCAUUUUUCUUAAUGGAAUCCAAAAUAUAUUUACAAAGGAAAUUAAAUUAUAUAUAUGUGUUCCUACUUGAAAUAAAUCACUAGGGCCUAAAGCUAUUAAACCGUUGUUGACUCUGUAAUCUUGAAAGACAGGGCACUCUAGCAAGAGAUGUAUUGAAGUUUGUUCCCCCAAUCCACAGAAACAUGUUGAAUCUUGCACAGCCUG